AGUGAACGCUGGCGGUAGGCCUAACACAUGCAAGUCGAACGGCAGCACAGUAAGAGCUUGCUCUUACGGGUGGCGAGUGGCGGACGGGGGAGGAAUACAUCGGAAUCUACGUGUUCGUGGGGGCUAACGCAGGGAAACUUACGCUAAUACCGCAUACGACCUACGGGUGAAAGCAGGGGAUCUUCUGACCUUGCGCGAGUGAAUGAGCCGAUGUCGGAUUAGCUAGUUGGCGGGGUAAAGGCCCACCAAGGCGACGAUCCGUAGCUGGUCUGAGAGGAUGAUCAGCCACACUGGAACUGAGACACGGUCCAGACUCCUACGGGAGGCAGCAGUGGGGAAUAUUGGACAAUGGGCGCAAGCCUGAUCCAGCCAUACCGCGUGGGUGAAGAAGGCCUUCGGAUUGUAAAGCACUUUAGUUGGGAAAGAAGAGCAGCAGGUUAAUACCCCGCUGUUCUGACGGUACCCAAAGAAUAAGCACCGGCUAACUUCGUG
RNAcentral lists this ribosomal RNA (492 nucleotides) under uncultured bacterium. Its description in RNAcentral is "partial 16S ribosomal RNA". It matches the Rfam family "Bacterial small subunit ribosomal RNA", at positions 29 to 507 of the family's 1533-position model. The record is from RNAcentral.